RNAcentral lists this long non-coding RNA (752 nucleotides) under Nicotiana tabacum (common tobacco). Its description in RNAcentral is "long non-coding RNA (NTAB_LNC010493)". The record is from RNAcentral. Lineage: Eukaryota; Viridiplantae; Streptophyta; Magnoliopsida; Solanales; Solanaceae.
ACUUUGAGAAGCAAGCAAGCUACAAUGGAGCCCAAAAGCUGAGCAAUGGUGUAAAAGAGGCCAGUAAGAAGUGUAAUUUGGCCGCCGAGAGCCAAUCCGAAGGUGACAGCUGGGUUAACAUGUCCACCAGAAAUGUUAGCGCCAAUGGCAACGGCCACAAAUAGAGCAAAUCCAUGGCAAACUGCAACAGCUACUAGCCCAGCCGGAUCAAGAGCUGCAUCUGCUGUCAACUUAUCUGCAAUUUAUACCAAAAGAUUACUAAUUUUAAAAUCUUAUUACAUUUCCAUUGUGAAAAAACAAAUUAAAUACCAUGUAAAGAUUGUUGCAUGGGCACGAACAUUUUCCAUGUUUAUCAAACGCAUUAUUAAAGUUAGUGGAUUUAGAACGAGUAUAGUUGUAUUAUGUGUAUAAUACAUUUUGAAUAGUUCGAGUUGAAAGUAAUAAAAUUUGUUGAAAUUAUAGAACUCGCCCUAAAUUUGUCUCUGGCGGUAACACCAGCCAGUGUAUUUAACUACGAAAAUGUAAGUGAAAAGUUAAAAUGUAGAAAAGGAUUGGAGGAGUUAUUAACUGUAAGCAAUGGCAGAACCAACUCCGGCGAAGACAAAGAGUAAGGUUGAGAUGAAUUCAGCAAGAUAGGCCUUAAGAGACCCAACGCUAAAUGAAUCAUCUAUACGUCCAAAAGCUAUGCAAGGCAUUUUCACAAUUAAAAUAAUUUAAUUACUUCUAAUUAGAAGCUAAAGGAGAAGGGACGA